UACGUAGGGUGCAAGCGUUGUCCGGAAUUAUUGGGCGUAAAGAGCUCGUAGGCGGUUUGUCGCGUCUGCUGUGAAAUCCCGAGGCUCAACCUCGGGCCUGCAGUGGGUACGGGCAGACUAGAGUGCGGUAGGGGAGAUUGGAACUCCUGGUGUAGCGGUGGAAUGCGCAGAUAUCGGGAGGAACACCAGUGGCGAAGGCGAUCAUCUGGGGUUGUUCUGACGCUGAGGAGCGAAAGCUAGGGGAGCAAACGGG
RNAcentral lists this ribosomal RNA (253 nucleotides) under uncultured bacterium. RNAcentral describes it as "partial 16S ribosomal RNA". It matches the Rfam family "Bacterial small subunit ribosomal RNA", at positions 524 to 776 of the family's 1533-position model. The record is from RNAcentral.